UUUGUAUUUCUUUCUACCCUUAUUUCUUUCUUGUGCAACCCACUCCACCUCGCAAAGUACUUUUAAGAUGCUUGUUCUAUCUCAAUCCUUAUCGAUCACCAAUUGUCAUUCCCUAUUGAUCGAAAUAAACAAAUUAAAAGACCUGCUGCUUGGUGCUUCAUCUCCUUCUAAUUCGAGUUUCGACGAAGUAUAGCUUUUGCGAGGUUUAUGGUUCCUUGCCUUUCCUAUCAAGCUUUGUUCAAUAAAUCAUGUGACUUUUCCAACCUAUGCAAAACUUGCAUUUUGACGUGGUAAUAAAUCGUGUUGAAGCUUAGUGACAAAACGAAGAAACAAAUUAAAUCAGAAAAAGAGCAUCAUGCAAAUUGUGAAAGAGUUUUCAGGCUCAAACACUCAAGCUUUUACUUCCACGACUUGACUAAUUUUCUCCUUUAUGGUUAAAGGGAACUAUUUUUCUUACUUGGUACCAGCAGCUGCAAUUGGAGUAAUGAGAUAUUGUUACAUGUGGUGGAAGGGAUGUUCAUUUUCUGACAUAAUGCUUGUGACGAAGCAAAACAUGGCAAAUGCUGUCUCGAAACAACAUGGAACAUGUGCAUGAAGCUUUGGCUUCAACAAGGAAGCAUCUGACAAAGAGGUUGGAGAACUUGGAUYGGAAGCUGCAGGAAGAGAUCGAAACAACAAAUCUCAUAGCAAAUAAUGUAAGAACUACCUUCGAACUUUUGAGUCUCUUAAUGGAUAUAACAUUAUGAGAUCUUACCUCAAAGAUGAAGUUCAUCCAAAAACCAAUUAUUAUUAUAUGAAGCAUCUUAUUAGAUCCAAUAUGUACUUGUUGACUAGAAUUGGUAAGGAAUCAUGCUAGUCUUUUUUACUUUCAUGGUUAUUGAGAUUGAGAUGAAUUUCUUAGUCUUUCAAAAUUUUAUUUUGAAGCAAACCUCUCCCUAUACAAGCCUUUGCUCUCAAAUUCUUAGA
Momordica charantia (bitter melon) is the source of this 966-nucleotide long non-coding RNA. RefSeq lists it as uncharacterized. The record is from RefSeq and is a predicted model, not a curated record. NCBI's taxonomy places the organism in Eukaryota, Viridiplantae, Streptophyta, Magnoliopsida, Cucurbitales, Cucurbitaceae.